Molecule: long non-coding RNA, 3216 nt
Filed under: Sus scrofa (pig)
Lineage: Eukaryota; Metazoa; Chordata; Mammalia; Artiodactyla; Suidae
Description: lncRNA (ENSSSCG00025027576.1, ENSSSCG00045006956.1)
Source: RNAcentral
UUUUUUUUUUUUUUUUUGGUCUUUUUGUCUUUUCUAGGCCUGCUCCUGCACAAAGACACACAUUUCUUACAUUGAAAUGGGUUUUUUGGGGGUUUUUUUGUUUGUUUGUUUUUUCAUUUUGUCUUCUUAGGGGCUGCACCUGCAGCAUAUGGAGGUUCCUAGGCUAGGGGUUGAAUCAGAGCUAUAGCUGCUGGCCUAAACCACAGCCACAGCAACAUGGGAUCCGAGCUGCGUCUGCAACCUACACCACAGCUCAUGGCAAGGCCAGAUCCUUAACCCACUGAGCAAGGCCAGGGAUCGAACCUGCAACCUCAUGGUUCCUAAUCGGAUUUGUUUCCACUGUGCCACAAUGGGAACUCCUGAAAUUUUCUUAAUGAAAAUCUGAAAUAUAUGAUUUUCUUCCUUCCUUCCUUUCUUUCUAAUGGCUGUACCCAUGGCAUGUCAAAGUUCCCAGGAGCAGCCAAAGAAAUGGCAAAAAGACAAAAAAAAGAAAAAGAAAAAGAAAAGAAAUUGGGGAUCAAAAAGUGACAAAGGUUUUGAUGUCAAGAUAUCCAAGUACAAUGGAGAAGCAGACAUAUAAACAAACACUCUCUAUGUGGUGUGAUAGCCACUAGAAGUAAUUUCAAGGUUUAGAGACAGCUCAGAAUGGGCAGUAAUCAAUGUGAGCAGUAAUUAAUUAAAUUAUGAGAAAAUCUUUGCAUAUGCUCAUGUGCGCCAAGAAAGAAAUGAUAAAGAGAAUAUUCUAGGCAGAAAAAGUAGUAUUUGCAAAGGGAAUGAGCAGGUCAGUCUAACUAGAGCAUUAAAUGCGUCAAGGGAGGUUUCCUUUGGAGCGAUGAGGCACAGAGCAAAGGUGAAGGAAGUCCUGGGUGAGGUCAGAUGUGGGAAGCAAGAAACAGUUUGAUGGUCAAGGUCAAGGAGGCCUGUGGGAAGCAAGAACUGGGCACAGAGCAAAGGUCUUCAGCAGAGAACAGACUAAUGCUCUGAGCAACAGUGUGCAGGAUAAUGGAGAAAAUUUUUUGUCCUAGUUUUGUGCAGGAGCUCAGCGCUGAGGAUAUAGGAAAGUGUCAGGAGUUGAAACAGCAGCUUGAGUGGAAUAAGGUGGCAGAUGGGAUCAUAUGUGACUUUUGUGCUGGGGCAAUAGAUGUACCAGUAGAAGUAAAGGAAUGCUCCUCAGACAUUUGGUCGAUAUUCUGUGGAUGGGGCGUAAAAGAUGGGUAAAUGUGGACUUGGAUACAUUUAAACAGCAUCCUCUAAACCAGUAUGGAAACACAUAAAAUGAAAUAGUAGAUAUUGGGAUUGUUAAGGGGGGCUGGGUCGAGAUAACUCAGCAUCCCAUCAGCUCCGCACACCCCGGUCUUUACGGAUUAACCACCCCCACCCCGUAAGAAGUCCGCUCUAAGGACUAUAAGGGCAAAAGAGUAAGAAAGUACUGCCUCUUGGAAUACGCUGGAAAGUCUUUUACUGACUAAAGAGGGAGAUGACAGCUUCUAGUCCUAAAUUUAUGUCACAUUGCUCUGCACUGCACAGAUUUCCUUUGACUAAUGGGAUAUGGUGCACACACGCCUAUACAGGGUUCUUGAAAACUCUUUUCUCAGUAUUGGCCAGGAUGUAAUGCUAUAGACAGUAGCUGAGAUCUGCCUAGACCACAGCACCGUGAGCUAAAUGACUCAUCACUUCCCACUAUCAAAAGACAUGUGAUACACUGCUCAUUAACUCAUAACCUAAGAGACUACCUUUCUUGCAAGUGGAGAAUCCAGUAUGACUUUGAUUAGGGUACAGAGAUCCAGUGCUGGAUGUGGGAGCAGGAGAUGUAGCAUUCGGGGCAGAAACAAAGGAAGUAAAAUCUCUGACUCAGGCAAUAGUGAACGUGGGGAGAAAGACACAGUCUGAGAUAUCAGAUUCAAGGGCGUGACCAGAGAGCAGGAAGCGGAUUAUAGCAGAAGAGGAGACCAGGAAGAGUCCCCAGACUAUGGAAUGCAGAGGAAGGAGGCUGUUAUGGAGACCUGUGGUCAGGUACCAGCACAACUCGAGAGUAUGCUGGGUGUUUGUUUUGCUUUUUAGGGCUGCACCUGUGGAAGUUCCCAGCCUAGGGGUCGAAUCGGAGCUACAGCUGCCGGCCUACGCCACAGCCACAGCCACAGCCACAUGGGGUCCAAGCUGCGUCUGUGACCUACACCAUAGCUCAGGGCAACCCCGGAUCCUUAACCCACUGAGUGAGGCCAGGGAUAGAACCCGAGUCCUCAUGAGUACUAGGCAGAUUCGUUUCUGCUGCGCCACAACGGGAACUCCAGAGAGUAUUUAAGAUGCUGUUGAUUGAAGGUUUUCACCACAUAUUUGAGGCUUGGAAAGCAAACUUAAGAAAAAAAAAAUCAUCUUAAAAGAUCUCAUUAGAAAGAUCCGAAGAAUGAUAUCAGAAACCUUUUAAUUUGUUUUGGGAAAAAACAGUACAAAGCAAAUUGUAGAUUUCUAUACAAAAUAGUUCUAAUUCCAGAGGAUAAUUUCACUGUCAACAAAUCUUUUUGUGGUCUUUAUAAAGUUUCAAGUUAAAAACCCUCCCAAACCCUUCUGGUGUGUAUGUAUAUAUAUACACACACUUAUAUCUGGCCAAGGUGGGCAAUAAGCUUGAAUCAAGAUUUAGGUUUCCAAAGUAGCAAAGCCAGAGACUUCCUUUGUGGCUGGCAACAUAACUACAAAGUAGCAAAGCCAAAUAGACAGUCUCCUUGCAGAAUUCUUUUUUUUUUUAAUUUUUUUAAAUUUUUUUAUUUUUUUUUGGCCGUGCCUGUGGCAUGUGGAAGUUCUCAGGCCAGGGAUGAACGCACCCCACAGCAGCAACCCAGGGUGCUGCAGUGACAAUGCCAGAUCCUUAACCUGCUAUGCCACACAAGUGAAUUCCAUCCUUGCAGAAUUCUCUUGUAAAAUGUUUCUUAUUUAUUUUUAAAGGGUUUGGGGGGAGCUUGGGGUGGGGGAGGCAAGGGGGAAAGGGAAUCCAAGUAUGCCCCAUUCAUCUAUAUGACACCAUAAUAACUUGUAGACAAGAUAAUUACUUGGUUCCUUUGACUGUAAGGUAACAAAUCAUGAUCAGUUUUGGUUUUGUGUGGAUGCACUCCUGAUGAAGGUAAGACAUUGAGGACCAGAGUGAAGGCAACUCAGUGUUGCCUUCAAUGUCUCAUUCAAGAAAAGGGAAGCAGGGAAAUUCUGAAUGUGUCUUCAUGAUGA